RNAcentral lists this ribosomal RNA (3250 nucleotides) under Durio zibethinus. Its description in RNAcentral is "eukaryotic LSU rRNA". It matches the Rfam family "Eukaryotic large subunit ribosomal RNA". Lineage: Eukaryota; Viridiplantae; Streptophyta; Magnoliopsida; Malvales; Malvaceae. The record is from RNAcentral.
CAGACCCCAGGUCAGGCAGGAUCACCCGCUAAGUUUAAGCAUAUCAAUAAGUGGAGGAAAAGAAACUUACCAGGAUUCCCCUAGUAAUGGUAAGCGAAUCGGGAAGAGCCCAACUUGAGAAUCGGGUGCCCCCGGCAUUCGAAUUGUAGUAUGGAGAAGCGUCUUCAGCGGUGGACCGGGCCCAAGUUCCCUGGAAAGGGUUGCUGGAGAGGGUGAGAGCCCCGUUGUGCCCGGACCCUGUCGCAUCGUGAGACGCUGUCCGUGAGUCAGGUUGUUUGGGAAUGUAGCCCCAAUUGGGCGGUAAAUUUCGUCCAAGGCUAACUACGAGCAAGAGACCGAUAGCGAACAAGUACCACGAGGGAAAGAUGAAAAAGACUUUGAAAAGAGAGUCAAAGAGUGCUUGAAAUUGUCAGGAGGGAAGCAGAUGGGGGUCGACGAUGUGCCCCGAUCGAAUGUGGAAUGGCAAGAGCCGAUCCAUCGAUCGGCUCAGGGCGUGGACCGAUACAGGUCAUGGCGACGGCCCAAGCCCAAGCUUUCGAUGUGCCCGCGAAGAUGUCAUCACUGCGAUCGUGGAAUGCAGCACGUGCCAUCUCGGCAUGCCCCGACACCAGCGUGCUCCAGGCAUUGGCCUACUGGCUCCCCAUCCGACCCGUCUUGAAACAUAGACCAAGGAGUUUGACAUACGUGCGAGUCAACGGGCUAGAAAACCUGUAAGGUGCAAGGAAGCUGAUUGGCGGGAUCCUUCGCGGGUGCACCAUCGAUCGGCUUGAUCUUCUGAGAAGGGUUCGAGUACGAGCAUGCCCUUGAGACCCGAAAGAUGGUGAACUAUGCCUGAGUGGGGUGAAACCAAAGGAAACUCUGGUGGAGGCCCGUAGUGAUACUAACAUGCAAAUCGUUCAUUUGACUUGGGUAUAAGGGUGAAAGACUAAUCAAACCGUCUAGUAGCUGGUUUCUUCUGAAGUUUCCCUCAGGAUAGCUGGAGCCCCCAUCGAGUUCUAUCAGGUAAAGCUAAUGAUUGAGGCAUCGAAGGUGCAGAACCUUGAUCUAUUCUCAAACUUUAAAUAGGUAUGACGGCGUGGCUGCUCCGUUGAGCCGUGCCAUAGAAUUGAGAGCUCCAAGUGGGCCAUUUUUGGUAAGCAAAACUGGUGAUGCGGGAUAAGCCAGAAGCUGGGUUACGGUGCCCAACUGUGUGCUAACCCAAAACCCAUAAAGGGUGUUGUUUGAUUAAGAUAGUAGGACGGUGGUCAUGGAAGUCAAAAUCUGCUAAAAAGUGUGUAACAACUCACCUGCCAAAUCAGUUAGCCCUGAAAAUGGAUGGUGCUUAAGCGCGUGACCUAUACCCAACCGUUAGGGCAAGGGUCAAACCUCGAUGAGUAAGAGGGCUCGGUGGUCACCGUAAAACCUAAGGUGUGAGCCCGGGCUGAGCGGCUGUCUGUGUAGAUCUUGGUGGCAGUAGCAAAUAUUCAAAUAAGAACUUUGAAGGCCGAAUAGGGGAAAGGUUCCAUGUGAACGACACUUGCACAUGGGUUAGUCGAUCCUAAGAGAUGGGGGAAGCCCGUCCGACAGCGCAUCUCAUGCAAGCUUCGAAAGGGAAUCAGGUUAAAAUUCUUGAACCGGGAUGCAAUGACUGACGGCAAUGUUAGAGAGUUCGAAAACAUCGGUGAGGGCCUCGAGAAGAGUUAUCUUUCUAUUUAACGGCCCGCCCACCCUGGAAAUGGCUCAACUGGAGGCAGGGUCUAGCGGGCGGAAGAGCACCGCACGUCACGUGGUGUUUGGCGCACCUCUGAUGGCCCUUGAAAAUCUGGAGGACCGAGUGUCGUCCGUGCUCGAUCAUACUCAUAACCAAAUCAGGUCUCCAAGGUGAACAGCCUCUGGUCGAUGGAACAAUGUAGGCAAAAGAAGCGGCAAAAUGGAUCCGUAACCUCGAGAAAAAGAUUGGCUCUGAGGGCUGGGCACAGGGGGUCCCAGUCUCGAACCCGUUGGCUGUCGAUGCACUGCUCGAGCUGCUCCCGCGUGUCGACCAGGGGACGAACUGGGAACGGCUCGCUCAGGGGCCUUCCUGAAGUGACGAACAAUUGACUCAAAACUGGUACAGACAAGGGGAAUCCAAUUGUUUAAUUAAAACAAAGCAUUGCGAUGGUCCUUGCGGAUGCUCAUGCAAUGUGAUUUCAGCCCAGUGCUCUGAAUGUCAAAGUGAAGAAAUUCAACCAAGCACGGGUAAACGACGGGAGUAACUAUGACUCUCUUAAGGUAGCCAAAUGCCUCCUCAUCUAAUUAGUGACGUGCAUGAAUAGAUUAACGAGAUUCCCACUGUCCUUGUCUACUAUCCAGUGAAACCACAGCUAAGGGAACGGGCUUGGUAGAAUCAACGGGGAAAGAAGACCCUGUUGAGCUUGACUCUAGUCCAACUUUGUGAAAUGACUUGAAAGGUGUAGGAUAAGUGGGAGCCCCCAAGCGAAAUUGAAAUACACUACUUUUAAUGUUAUUUUACUUAUUUCGUGAAUUGGAGGCGGGGCACGACCCCUUCUUUUGGACCUAAGGUCAGCCUCGGUCGAUCGAUCCGGGUGAAAAACAUUGUUAGGUGGGGAAUUUGGCUGGGGUGGCACUUCUGUUAAAAGAUAACGCAGGUGUCCUAAGAUGAGCUCAACGAGAACAAAAAUCUCUAUGGAACAAAAGGGUAAAAGCUCGUUUGAUUCUGAUUUCCAGUACGAAUACAAACUGUGAAGCGUGGCCUAUCGAUCCUUUAGACCUUCAGGAUUUGAAGCUAGAGGUGUCAGAAACGUUACCACAGGGAUAACUAGUUUGUGGCAGCCAAGCAUUCAUAGCGACAUUGCUUUUUGAUCCUUCGAUGUCAGCUUUUCCUAUCAUUGUGAAGUAGAAUUUGCCAAGAGUUGGAUUGUUCACCCACCAAUAGGGAACAUGAGCUGGGUUUAUAUCGUCAUGAGACAGGUUAGUUUUACCCUAUUGAUGGCGAUGUCACGAUAGUAAUUCAACCUAGUACGAGAAGAACCGUUGAUUCGCACAAUUGGUCAUUGUGCUUGGUUGAAAAGCCAGUGGCACGAAGCUACCAUGCGCUGGAUUAUGAUUGAACGCCUCUAAGUCAGAAUUCAGGCUAGAAGCGGCACGCGCACCCGUCGCCUGAUUGCCGACUCACAGUAGGGGCCCAUGGCCACCAAGGGCACGUGUCGUAGGUGCAGCCUCCACGGUAGACGAGCCACGUGGGCCUCCUUGGAGCUCAAUUCUCACCGAG